GAUGAACGCUGGCGGCGUGCUUAACACAUGCAAGUCGAACGGAAAGGCUCCUGCUUGCAGGGGUACUCGAGUGGCGAACGGGUGAGUAACACGUGGGUGAUCUGCCCUGCACUUCGGGAUAAGCCUGGGAAACUGGGUCUAAUACCGGAUAGGACGAUGGUUUGGAUGCCAUUGUGGAAAGUUUUUCGGUGUGGGAUGAGCUCGCGGCCUAUCAGCUUGUUGGUGGGGUAAUGGCCUACCAAGGCGUCGACGGGUAGCCGGCCUGAGAGGGUGUACGGCCACAUUGGGACUGAGAUACGGCCCAGACUCCUACGGGAGGCAGCAGUGGGGAAGAUUGCACAAUGGGCGCAAGCCUGAUGCAGCGACGCCGCGUGGGGGAUGACGGCCUUCGGGUUGUAAACUCCGUUCGCUAGGGACGAAGCGUUUUGUGACGGUACCUGGAGAAGAAGCACCGGCUAACUACGUG
RNAcentral lists this ribosomal RNA (466 nucleotides) under uncultured bacterium. RNAcentral describes it as "partial 16S ribosomal RNA". It matches the Rfam family "Bacterial small subunit ribosomal RNA", at positions 28 to 507 of the family's 1533-position model. The record is from RNAcentral.